This 800-nucleotide ribosomal RNA is filed under the name uncultured bacterium. RNAcentral describes it as "bacterial SSU rRNA". It matches the Rfam family "Bacterial small subunit ribosomal RNA", at positions 1 to 766 of the family's 1533-position model. The record is from RNAcentral.
AGUACGAGUGCAUGCUCCGGCGCCAUGCGGCGCGGCAUUCGAUUAGAGCUUGAUCCGGAUAUAAUCUCUGGCGGCAGGCCUAACACAUGCAAGAGAAAGCAUCAGGUCCUUCGGGAUGCCGGCGAGCGGCGGACGGGUGAGUAAUGCCUAGGAAUCUGCCUGGUACUGGGGGAUAACUCGGGGAAACUCGAGCUAAUACCGCAUACGUCCUACGGGAGAAAGCGGGGGAUCUUCGGACCUCGCGCUACCAGAUGAGCCUAGGUCGGAUUAGCUAGUUGGUGAGGUAAAGGCUCACCAAGGCGACGAUCCGUAGCUGGUCUGAGAGGAUGAUCAGCCACACUGGAACUGAGAUACGGUCCAGACUCCUACGGGAGGCAGCAGUGGGGAAUAUUGGACAAUGGGCGAAAGCCUGAUCCAGCCAUGCCGCGUGUGUGAAGAAGGUCUUCGGAUUGUAAAGCACUUUAAGUUGGGAGGAAGGACAGUAAGUUAAUACCUUGCUGUUUUGACGUUACCGACAGAAUAAGCACCGGCUAACUUCGUGCCAGCAGCCGCGGUAAUACGAAGGGUGCAAGCGUUAAUCGGAAUUACUGGGCGUAAAGCGCGCGUAGGUGGUUUGAUAAGUUGGAUGUGAAAGCCCCGGGCUCAACCUGGGAAUUGCAUCCAAAACUGUCUGACUAGAGUAUGGCAGAGGGUGGUGGAAUUUCCUGUGUAGCGGUGAGAUGCGUAGAUAUAGGAAGGAACACCAGUGGCGAAGGCGACCACCUGGGCUAAUACUGACACUGAGGUGCGAAAGCGUGGGG